GACGAACGCUGGCGGCGUGCUUAACACAUGCAAGUCGAACGGUAAGGCCCUUCGGGGUACACGAGUGGCGAACGGGUGAGUAACACGUGGGUGAUCUGCCCUGCACUUCGGGAUAAGCCUGGGAAACUGGGUCUAAUACCGGAUAGGACUCCUGGCUUCAUGGUUGGGGGUGGAAAGCUUUUGCGGUGUGGGAUGGGCCCGCGGCCUAUCAGGUUGUUGGUGGAGUAAUGGCCGACCAAGGCGACGACGGGUAGCCGGCCUGAGAGGGUGACCGGUCACACUGGGACUGAGAUACGGCCCGGACUCCUACGGGAGGCAGCAGUGGGGAAUAUUGCACAAUGGGCGCAAGCCUGAUGCAGCGACGCCGCGUGAGGGAUGACGGCCUUCGGGUUGUAAACCUCUUUCAGCUAUGACGAAGCGCAAGUGACGGUAGUAGCAGAAGAAGGACCGGCCAACUACGUGCCAGCCGCCGCGGUAA
RNAcentral lists this ribosomal RNA (478 nucleotides) under uncultured bacterium. RNAcentral's name for it is "partial 16S ribosomal RNA". It matches the Rfam family "Bacterial small subunit ribosomal RNA", at positions 28 to 523 of the family's 1533-position model. The record is from RNAcentral.